UGGGGAAUUUUGGACAAUGGGCGAAAGCCUGAUCCAGCAAUGCCGCGUGUGUGAAGAAGGCCUUCGGGUUGUAAAGCACUUUUGUCCGGAAAGAAAUCCUUGGCUCUAAUACAGUCGGGGGAUGACGGUACCGGAAGAAUAAGCACCGGCUAACUACGUGCCAGCAGCCGCGGUAAUACGUAGGGUGCAAGCGUUAAUCGGAAUUACUGGGCGUAAAGCGUGCGCAGGCGGUUUGCUAAGACCGAUGUGAAAUCCCCGGGCUCAACCUGGGAACUGCAUUGGUGACUGGCAGGCUAGAGUAUGGCAGAGGGGGGUAGAAUUCCACGUGUAGCAGUGAAAUGCGUAGAGAUGUGGAGGAAUACCGAUGGCGAAGGCAGCCCCCUGGGCCAAAUACUGACGCUCAUGCACGAAAAGCGUGGGGAGCAAACAGGAUUAGAUACCCUGGUAGUCCACGCCCUAAAACGAUGUCAACUAGUUGUUGGGGAUUCAUUUCCUUAGUAACGUAGCUAACGCGUGAAGUUGACCGCCUGGGGAGUACGUCGCAAGAUUAAAACUCAAAUGAAUUG
This 566-nucleotide ribosomal RNA is filed under the name uncultured bacterium. RNAcentral describes it as "partial 16S ribosomal RNA". It matches the Rfam family "Bacterial small subunit ribosomal RNA", at positions 355 to 912 of the family's 1533-position model. The record is from RNAcentral.